RNAcentral lists this ribosomal RNA (253 nucleotides) under uncultured bacterium. RNAcentral's name for it is "partial 16S ribosomal RNA". It matches the Rfam family "Bacterial small subunit ribosomal RNA", at positions 524 to 776 of the family's 1533-position model. The record is from RNAcentral.
UACGUAGGGAGCAAGCGUUGUCCGGAAUCAUUGGGCGUAAAGCGCGCGUAGGUGGCCUCAUAAGUCCGCUGUGAAAGUCAAAGGCUCAACCUUUGAAAGCCGGUGGAUACUGUGAGGCUAGAGUACGGAAGAGGCGAGUGGAAUUCCUGGUGUAGCGGUGGAAUGCGCAGAUAUCAGGAGGAACACCGGUGGCGAAGGCGGGUCUCUGGGCCGAUACUGACGCUGAGGAGCGAAAGCGUGGGGAGCGAACAGG